This is a small nucleolar RNA of Drosophila melanogaster (fruit fly), 106 nucleotides long. The record is from Ensembl. Lineage: Eukaryota; Metazoa; Arthropoda; Insecta; Diptera; Drosophilidae.
CGAGAGGUGACGAUUGGGUUCGAUCUCGCUAUAUAAUGCUUGAGGGCCUUGUUCUCCCAACCAAUAUGUUACGACUUACGGGACAGCCUUGAAAACAUCUGAUCUC